UACGUAGGGUGCGAGCGUUAAUCGGAAUUACUGGGCGUAAAGCGUGCGCAGGCGGUUUUGUAAGCCAGAUGUGAAAUCCCCGGGCUUAACCUGGGAAUGGCAUUUGGGACUGCAAGGCUCGAGUGCGGCAGAGGAGACUGGAAUUCCUGGUGUAGCAGUGAAAUGCGUAGAUAUCAGGAGGAACACCGAUGGCGAAGGCAGGUCUCUGGGCAGUAACUGACGCUGAGGAGCGAAAGCGUGGGGAGCAAACAGG
This 253-nucleotide ribosomal RNA is filed under the name uncultured bacterium. Its description in RNAcentral is "partial 16S ribosomal RNA". It matches the Rfam family "Bacterial small subunit ribosomal RNA", at positions 524 to 776 of the family's 1533-position model. The record is from RNAcentral.